RNAcentral lists this ribosomal RNA (465 nucleotides) under uncultured Klebsiella sp. RNAcentral describes it as "bacterial SSU rRNA". It matches the Rfam family "Bacterial small subunit ribosomal RNA", at positions 338 to 795 of the family's 1533-position model. Lineage: Bacteria; Pseudomonadati; Pseudomonadota; Gammaproteobacteria; Enterobacterales; Enterobacteriaceae. The record is from RNAcentral.
CCUACGGGAGGCUGCAGUGGGGAAUAUUGCACAAUGGGCGCAAGCCUGAUGCAGCCAUGCCGCGUGUGUGAAGAAGGCCUUCGGGUUGUAAAGCACUUUCAGCGGGGAGGAAGGCGUUAAGGUUAAUAACCUUGGCGAUUGACGUUACCCGCAGAAGAAGCACCGGCUAACUCCGUGCCAGCAGCCGCGGUAAUACGGAGGGUGCAAGCGUUAAUCGGAAUUACUGGGCGUAAAGCGCACGCAGGCGGUCUGUCAAGUCGGAUGUGAAAUCCCCGGGCUCAACCUGGGAACUGCAUUCGAAACUGGCAGGCUAGAGUCUUGUAGAGGGGGGUAGAAUUCCAGGUGUAGCGGUGAAAUGCGUAGAGAUCUGGAGGAAUACCGGUGGCGAAGGCGGCCCCCUGGACAAAGACUGACGCUCAGGUGCGAAAGCGUGGGGAGCAAACAGGAUUAGAUACCCCAAUAGUC